GACGAACGCUGGCGGCGUGCUUAACACAUGCAAGUCGAACGAUGAAGCCGGAGCUUGCUCUGGUGAAUUAGUGGCGAACGGGUGAGUAACACGUGAGUAACCUGCCCUUGACUCUGGGAUAACUGCGGGAAACUGUAGCUAAUACCGGAUACGACCCUCGGAGGCAUCUCCUGGGGGUGGAAAGAAUUUCGGUCAAGGAUGGACUCGCGGCCUAUCAGCUAGUUGGUGAGGUAAAGGCUCACCAAGGCGACGACGGGUAGCCGGCCUGAGAGGGUGACCGGACACACUGGGACUGAGACACGGCCCAGACUCCUACGGGAGGCAGCAGUGGGGAAUAUUGCACAUUGGGCGCGAGCCUGAUGCAGCAACGCCGCGUGGGGGAUGACGGCCUUCGGGUUGUAAACCUCUUUUAGUAGGGAAGAAGCGAAAGUGACGGUACCUGCAGAAAAAGCACCGGCUAACUACGUGCCAGCCGCCGCAGUAA
Molecule: ribosomal RNA, 484 nt
Filed under: uncultured bacterium
Lineage: Bacteria
Description: partial 16S ribosomal RNA
Rfam family: Bacterial small subunit ribosomal RNA
Source: RNAcentral